Molecule: long non-coding RNA, 1010 nt
Organism: Solanum pennellii
Lineage: Eukaryota; Viridiplantae; Streptophyta; Magnoliopsida; Solanales; Solanaceae
Exons: 2
Source: RefSeq, a predicted model, not a curated record
UCGACUUCCAUAAAACCCUAGCCUCCAUUACUCCUUAUAUAAAUGAGUUCUUUCAUUGCUCACAUUAUACCCCAAUGGGUACUAGGUUUUCUCUACUUGUCUCGCCGAUUAUUUGAUUAGAUAUGGCAGCCGUUUCUUAUAAUUUGUUUUUUUGGGCCGAUGAUGAUGUAGUUUUGCGUUAAUGAUCAAAAUGAUGAUUACGACUAUACUACUGCCUUCCUUCUGAGGCUAUUUUUUAUUUAUUUUCUGAUCUGAGUCAUAUGAUGAUUAGAAGCAUAGUUCACAUGAAGUUAUUUGUGAUUAAUUUGUUUUUGUUUUAGUCUUUCGCUCCUAUGUGAUGACUCUCUUUGAAUCCAAAUAUUUAUUUGGUGCCGGGAUUGGUCUGUAAUGGUGUAAAUCCACCUGCCGACAAUUCUCUAUUUGUGUGAAGUAAAUUUCAGCACAAUCUUAAUUUUUGCGUGAUAAUUUAUAAAGCGAAGUGAUGAUAUAAAUUCAUUAGUCUGUCAAUCCACUGACAACUCAAUUGUGUGAUGUUAAUAGUGAAUCUCGACAGUGGAUGAGCGAGCUACAACUUGUUGAUUUUUGACGACAAUACACUGGAUUGGGCCCAAAGGAAACAAGAUAUCAUUGUGUGGAUAUUUUGUCAUUCACCUUGGCAUAAUCAACAUCCAUGUACAUGUAAAGAUCAUACCUUGAGUUUUGAAGAAUUCAAAGACCUGAAGUUAUCCUGGCUUUAAGAUACCGUAUUAUCCUUUUAACCGCUAUCUAGUAUUCAAUAGUGGGUUCAUUCAUAAUAUAUUUGUUUGUGUGAAUGAUAAAUAUUGUAACUUACCAAGGGUGAGCUUGUAGAAUGUAAGCUUUAGCAGGUGGAGAACCAUCAGUUGCCCGAGGUAGCUUACCAGAGCACAUUGGUGUCAAGACAAAUUUACAAUUUUUCAUAUCAAAUUCAGACAAAAUGCUAAGAAUGUAUUUGGAUUGAGAGAGAAUAAGACCAUCUUGCACUUUUCUAA